CCUACGGGAGGCAGCAGUAGGGGAUCUUGCACAAUGGGCGCAAGCCUGAUGCAGCGAUGCCGCGUGAGGGAUGAAGGCCUUCGGGUCGUAAACCUCUUUCAGUAGGGAAGAAGCCACGGGUCACCGUGGUGACGGUACCUGCAGAAGAAGCCCCGGCUAACUACGUGCCAGCAGCCGCGGUAAAACGUAGGGGGCAAGCGUUGCCCGGAUUCACUGGGCGUAAAGGGCGCGUAGGCGGCCGCCUAAGUCAGACGUGAAAUCCCUCGGCUCAACCGGGGAACUGCGUCUGAUACUGGGUGGCUUGAAUCCGGGAGAGGGAUGUGGAAUUCCAGGUGUAGCGGUGAAAUGCGUAGAUAUCUGGAGGAACACCGGUGGCGAAGGCGGCAUCCUGGACCGGCAUUGACGCUGAGGCGCGAAAGCCAGGGGAGCAAACGGGAUUA
This 440-nucleotide ribosomal RNA is filed under the name uncultured bacterium. RNAcentral's name for it is "bacterial SSU rRNA". It matches the Rfam family "Bacterial small subunit ribosomal RNA", at positions 338 to 780 of the family's 1533-position model. The record is from RNAcentral.